GAGGUUAUUUAAAUUGGAGACACCUCUUUUCAAAAUGUCUUCCCCAAAACAUUUAAGAUAUGAUGUCUUAAAUUUAAAGACACCAAACAUUAAAUAUUUUUAUCAUGGGAAGACUCCUUAGAGCAACCCCAACCUUGUAUCUUAGCUAAUUCUUAGGUAUAAAAGUGAUUAAAUUUAAUAAAACCAACAAACCUUAGCUAAGAUAAACAUCUUAAUUAAUUCUUAAAACUAAGAAGAGUAUAUGUGUUGUGUUUUGAGUGGGUAGACAUUGUUUUGAAAUAGUUUGAAUUGUUGUUUUUUAAGAAUCUAAUAGUUCUUAACCAUUCGAGUAGAAAUUAGUUAAGAUUUU
Molecule: small RNA, 349 nt
Filed under: Arabidopsis thaliana (thale cress)
Lineage: Eukaryota; Viridiplantae; Streptophyta; Magnoliopsida; Brassicales; Brassicaceae
Description: ATSL190930
Source: RNAcentral